CCUACGGGUGGCUGCAGUGGGGAAUAUUGGGCAAUGGACGCAAGUCUGACCCAGCAACGCCGCGUGAAGGAAGAAGGCGUUCGGGUGGUAAACUUCUGGUAAGGGGGAAGAGCAGAAGACGGGACCGCUAGAAUAAGCCACGGCUAACUACGUGCCAGCAGCCGCGGUAAUACGUAGGUGGCAAGCGUUGUCCGGCUUUACUGGGUGUAAAGGGCGUGCAGCCGGCGAGACAAGUCAGAUGUGAAAUCCACGGGCGCAACCCGUGAACGGCAUUUGAAACUGUUUCCCUUGAGUGUCGGAGCGGUCAUCGGACUUCCUCGUGUCGCGGUGAACUGCGUAUAUCUUAGG
This 348-nucleotide ribosomal RNA is filed under the name uncultured bacterium. RNAcentral describes it as "partial 16S ribosomal RNA". It matches the Rfam family "Bacterial small subunit ribosomal RNA", at positions 338 to 701 of the family's 1533-position model. The record is from RNAcentral.